CGUUGCCGCGUGCCAGUAUUUACGUGAAAAAUGUGCGACUCGGGAACGAUAUGUUGUGCUCCACUCCACUGUUAUGCACUCAACCUAACGGUGAUGACCAGUGCCAGUGAAAUUUUUUCGAGCUUUUGUUCUCCGCUGUUGUGAUGAGCAGGAAAGGGUGGAGCAAUAUGGUGGUUGAGUCAAGUCAGGUUCAUCGAUCUACAACUUGGUUGCAAGCUGGAUUUUUACAUGCAUGUAUCCCAUGUUGUUAACAUUGCACUGUGAUCGCUUGUAAUUGUUUAAUAAACAGAUUUCACAGGCUGAAAA
This 306-nucleotide long non-coding RNA is filed under the name Dermacentor andersoni. RNAcentral's name for it is "uncharacterized LOC126528124". Lineage: Eukaryota; Metazoa; Arthropoda; Arachnida; Ixodida; Ixodidae. The record is from RNAcentral.